GUGCUUGCUUUGGCAGCGCAUAUACUAAAAGUGAAAUGAUACAGAGAAGAUUAGCAUGACCUCUGUGCAAGGAUGACACGCAAAUUUGUGAAUUGUUCUAUAUUUUU
Myotis daubentonii (Daubenton's bat) is the source of this 107-nucleotide small nuclear RNA. The record is from RefSeq and is a predicted model, not a curated record. NCBI's taxonomy places the organism in Eukaryota, Metazoa, Chordata, Mammalia, Chiroptera, Vespertilionidae.